Molecule: ribosomal RNA, 430 nt
Filed under: uncultured bacterium
Lineage: Bacteria
Description: partial 16S ribosomal RNA
Rfam family: Bacterial small subunit ribosomal RNA
Source: RNAcentral
GUGGGGAAUAUUGCACAAUGGGCGAAAGCCUGAUGCAGCAACGCCGCGUGAGGGACGACGGCCUUCGGGUUGUAAACCUCUUUUAGUAGGGAAGAAGCGAAAGUGACGGUACCUGCAGAAAAAGCACCGGCUAACUACGUGCCAGCAGCCGCGGUAAUACGUAGGGUGCAAGCGUUAUCCGGAAUUAUUGGGCGUAAAGAGCUCGUAGGCGGUCUGUCGCGUCUGCUGUGAAAACUGGAGGCUCAACCUCCAGCAUGCAGUGGGUACGGGCAGACUAGAGUGCGGUAGGGGAGAUUGGAAUUCCUGGUGUAGCGGUGGAAUGCGCAGAUAUCAGGAGGAACACCGAUGGCGAAGGCAGAUCUCUGGGCCGUAACUGACGCUGAGGAGCGAAAGCGUGGGGAGCGAACAGGAUUAGAUACCCUUGUAGUCC